GAUGAACGCUGGCGGCGUGCCUAAUACAUGCAAGUCGAGCGAACAGACGAGGAGCUUGCUCCUCUGACGUUAGCGGCGGACGGGUGAGUAACACGUGGAUAACCUACCUAUAAGACUGGGAUAACUUCGGGAAACCGGAGCUAAUACCGGAUAAUAUAUUGAACCGCAUGGUUCAAUAGUGAAAGACGGUUUUGCUGUCACUUAUAGAUGGAUCCGCGCCGCAUUAGCUAGUUGGUAAGGUAACGGCUUACCAAGGCAACGAUGCGUAGCCGACCUGAGAGGGUGAUCGGCCACACUGGAACUGAGACGCGGUCCAGACGCCUGCGGGAGGCAGCAGUAGGGAAUCUUCCGCAAUGGGCGAAAGCCUGACGGAGCAACGGCGCGUGAGUGAUGAAGGUCUUCGGAUCGUAAAACUCUGUUAUUAGGGAAGAACAAAUGUGUAAGUAACUAUGCACGUCUUGACGGUACCUAAUCAGAAAGCCACGGCUAACUACGUG
This 497-nucleotide ribosomal RNA is filed under the name uncultured bacterium. RNAcentral describes it as "partial 16S ribosomal RNA". It matches the Rfam family "Bacterial small subunit ribosomal RNA", at positions 28 to 507 of the family's 1533-position model. The record is from RNAcentral.